RNAcentral lists this ribosomal RNA (398 nucleotides) under uncultured bacterium. RNAcentral describes it as "partial 16S ribosomal RNA". It matches the Rfam family "Bacterial small subunit ribosomal RNA", at positions 338 to 734 of the family's 1533-position model. The record is from RNAcentral.
CCUACGGGCGGCUGCAGUGAGGAAUAUUGGUCAAUGGGCGCGAGCCUGAACCAGCCAAGUCGCGUGAGGGAAGACGGUCCUAUGGAUUGUAAACCUCUUCUGUCGGGGAGCAAAAGAUGCCACGCGUGGCGUUCCGAGAGUACCCGACGAAAAAGCAUCGGCUAACUUCGUGCCAGCAGCCGCGGUAAUACGGGGGAUGCGAGCGUUAUCCGGAUUUAUUGGGGUGAAAGGGUGCGCAGGCGGAAGAGCAAGUCAGCGGUAAAAUUGAGAGGCUCAACCUCGUCGAGCCGUUGAAACUGGUUGUCUUGAGUGAGUGAGAGGUAUGCAGAAUGCGUGGUGUAGCGGUGAAAUGCAUAGAUAUCACGCAGAACUCCGAUUGCGAAGGCAGCAUACCGGCG